CCUACGGGAGGCAGCAGUGAGGAAUAUUGGUCAAUGGACGAGAGUCUGAACCAGCCAAGUAGCGUGAAGGAUGACUGCCCUAUGGGUUGUAAACUUCUUUUAUAAAGGAAUAAAACGAGGCACGUGUGCCUUUUUGCAUGUACUUUAUGAAUAAGGAUCGGCUAACUCCGUGCCAGCAGCCGCGGUAAUACGGAGGAUCCGAGCGUUAUCCGGAUUUAUUGGGUUUAAAGGGAGCGUAGAUGGGUUGUUAAGUCAGUUGUGAAAGUUUGCGGCUCAACCGUAAAAUUGCAAUUGAUACUGGCAGUCUUGAGUACAGUUGAGGUAGGCGGAAUUCGUGGUGUAGCGGUGGAAUGCUUAGAUAUCACGAAGAACCCCGAUUGCGAAGGCAGCUUACUAAACUGUGAAUGACAUUGAUGCUCGAAAGUGUGGGUAUCAAACAGGAUUAGAUACCCCGGGUAGUC
This 461-nucleotide ribosomal RNA is filed under the name uncultured bacterium. RNAcentral describes it as "partial 16S ribosomal RNA". It matches the Rfam family "Bacterial small subunit ribosomal RNA", at positions 338 to 795 of the family's 1533-position model. The record is from RNAcentral.